Molecule: small RNA, 1723 nt
Filed under: Harpegnathos saltator (Jerdon's jumping ant)
Lineage: Eukaryota; Metazoa; Arthropoda; Insecta; Hymenoptera; Formicidae
Description: uncharacterized LOC105183949
Source: RNAcentral
AUGGAGCCAUAUAAGGAAAAAAUGACUUUAUCACAGAACAGAUCUGUAUCGUUUUCAGAAGAGAAACUAAAGGAGCAGAUAAAAACUUUGGCGGAACCCAGAGACAACAAGGACAUAUUUCCACCAAAAGGAAAUCUUCACGAGUCAUCAUAUCGAAGAAUCGGACCUGACGACGAAGGUACCGGUGUCUCGGAGACGCACGCUAUGUUAUCGCAGAUCGAAAUGCGAGACGAGUAUAAGCCGAUCGUCUAUCCACGACGUAGCCUACUCAUGAUGCAAUCGCUCGCUUCGGCAGAAAAGGAAUACGAGGAGAAGGAAUUACAACUGGAGGACCUGCUCAUGGAUCCCAGGGCGAUUCGUUACAUGGACUAUCGCACCACCAUGGAUAGCGAUUAUCGAUCGCCUUAUCCUCCAAGAAAGAUGUCACCGCCGCCAUCACCGCCGCCGGAACCAUGGCUGUUGAAUCGACGCACCAUCGGUUACAGUUUUGAUGCUUUGGAAAAUCGUCGCGGAUACCGCAUGUUCUUCGACGACGACAUGGAUCUUCAUCGGAGAAUAGCAGAGUUGAAAACGAAAAGGGACGCUCCUGCGACGUUCUUGUGACUCCCGUUUACCAGGAUGGCUGCUGUGGCAGAGGAUAGGGAUACAGUGGUUCAAAAAGGUUUAUCGGAGUGGUGGAGCGAAGAGACGGAGUACGUGUUCCAGAGGAUCGAGCGGUGGGCCGCCUUCGCCCGCGGUUACAAUCGUCUACGAUCGCAAAGGUGGUCCAAGGAACGGUCUAAAGAUCAAAUACAGGAGCAUCAUCGGGGCUCGUCUACCCAAAAGUCGGGCGUCGACGAGCCGACUUGUGCGCCGCGGUUCUACAAUCUCGAGCGAUCCCGACAGAAAGUGCAACCAGAAGAGACCAGGAUUAACUGUUGCGGUACUUUCAAUUAUCAGUCGAAUAGCAAGCUGGAUAGCAACUGCCUGGAGACAUAUCGGUACGACCACAGCAUUUACUUCAAGACCAUCGGCGACAUCAAGAAUAACAGAAAGAACGUCGGGAGCCACGACGUGGACAGAGUAUCCAUCAGCAGCGAAGAGCUGGUGGAGUGGGACUCCAGCUCGCUCACUGACCUCUUAGCGGACAAAUUGAUCGUCCAGGAAACUUGCAACAACAAUUAUCUGAGCAAUAACGCCAUUCUCAAUACCGUCGAGACAAAAACGACCCGGGUGACGCAGAACGCCUGGCCGAUCGUAGAUCUGGCUAAACUCGACUUGAAUCUGACAGAGACAUCGCGACUCUCUCGUUCGACUGAUCCGGACGGUCAAGGAAAAAGCGAAGAACACUGGGAAAACAACAACACGGAUAAUUCGGAAGUAGAGUCUCCGGAUCUUAAGACGUGGAAGGACAAGGACGAUCGAGAGGACGGUCCCAAGGCUCCCGAGAGAAUGAAGACAUUACGAUCGUUUCGAAAAAGCAGACGGUCCUCCAGAAACAUGCGGAGAGCGCCGAUCGUUGGCGAAAACAACGUCGUGUGGCCCGGCGUCCUUCUGAAUUAUACCAACAGCUUCGACGUCGCCAACAGUUCACCGCAUGAUCAGUAAAAAUAAAGGUCGUCAAAGAUAAGUAUUUACGUGUCAGUGUUUCGGCUGACUUUCAAUAUAUUGUAAAUAUCCUACGAUACAGUGUGACGACUUUUUUGUUCACCAAUAAAAAAACUUUUUAUACAUACAUAUAUAU